RNAcentral lists this transfer RNA (74 nucleotides) under Megalops atlanticus (tarpon). RNAcentral describes it as "tRNA-OTHER". The record is from RNAcentral. Lineage: Eukaryota; Metazoa; Chordata; Actinopteri; Elopiformes; Megalopidae.
GCAGCAGUGUAGCAUAGUGGUAAGGAGUAGGGCUCGUAACCGAAAGGUCACAGGUUCGAAUUCCUACUGGGGCA